AGUUAUUUUAGGUGUUUCCUGCCCGGUGAUAUUUUAACGGCCGCAGUACUCUGACUGUGCUAAGGUAGCAUAAUAAUUUGUCUUUUAAUUGAAGACUGGAAUAAACGGAUUUCUGGUUGGAUACUGUCUUUAAUUAAUUUUAUUUAAUUUACUUAAAAGGUGAAAAUACCUUUGUUUAUAUGUUAGACGAGAAGACCCUUAGAGUUUUAAUUAAUCAUUUUUGUUGGGGCGACAUAGAAGCAUUUAACCUUCUUUUAAUUUAAUAUAUAUCAAAUUUUUAUUAUGAGAAAACUACCUAAGGGAUAACAGCAUAAUUUAUUUUUAAGUUUGUGACCUCGAUGUUGGAUUAAGGACUUAUAAGUUAACCGCUUAAUAAGAUAGUUCUGUUCGAACC
This 394-nucleotide ribosomal RNA is filed under the name Hemphillia malonei. RNAcentral's name for it is "partial 16S ribosomal RNA". It matches the Rfam family "Archaeal large subunit ribosomal RNA", at positions 1933 to 2686 of the family's 2987-position model. Lineage: Eukaryota; Metazoa; Mollusca; Gastropoda; Stylommatophora; Arionidae. The record is from RNAcentral.